ACAUCCUGCUCCACAGGGCAGAGG
This 24-nucleotide microRNA is filed under the name Homo sapiens (human). Its description in RNAcentral is "hsa-miR-4793-5p". The record is from miRBase by way of RNAcentral. Lineage: Eukaryota; Metazoa; Chordata; Mammalia; Primates; Hominidae.